Molecule: long non-coding RNA, 1416 nt
Organism: Limulus polyphemus (Atlantic horseshoe crab)
Lineage: Eukaryota; Metazoa; Arthropoda; Merostomata; Xiphosura; Limulidae
Exons: 3
Source: RefSeq, a predicted model, not a curated record
AACUGAAAAUGGUGUAUUAAUUCUAAUUUAUUGAUACUAUGCGUGUUUCCAACAUAGUGAGUAGUGUGUUUAACAAUUCCUUCUUAAUACUAGGACCCCCCCUGAAAAGGAUUACAAGAAACUGACACCGUCGGUGCUACAGUAAAAUCCAAUCCAAACCAAGUAUAGUGUGCGAUCUCUCUCACCUUCAAAUUAAACCUCUGAUGCCGUUUGUGACUCAAUAUCAGAGCUCAGCGUCAUGACUGAAGUGUUGUUUAUACCGGAUGUAUCAAAUGCUACAGCGAAAAACGACAUUAUGUAGUGUUAACCUGACGAGUGUUGGGGUUGUGAGAAAGUACACAUCGGCAGCGACACACAGCAAAUAAGGUGUUGAUGAAAUAGGACAGCCAAGUAACUACGCUAUUUAAAUUAUUAUUGGUAUUGUUAUUCAAUGUCGCUUGAAGGUCAAUAUCUUUAGGUUAAGAAAUGAAGGACUAUAUCUUUAGGUUAAGGAAUGAAGGUCUAUAUCUUUAGGUUAAGGAAUGAAGGACUAUAUCUUUAGGUUAAGGAAUGAAGGACUUUAGGUUAAGGAAUGAAGGUCUAUAUCAUUAGGUUAAGGAAUGAAAGUCUAUAUCUUUAGAUUAAGGAAUGAAGGACUCUAUCUUUAGGUUAAGGAAUGAAGGUCUAUAUCAUUAGAUUAAGGAAUGAAAGACUAUAUCUUUAGGUUAAGGAAUGAAGGUCUAUAUCUUUAGGUUAAGGAAUGAAGGUCUAUAUCUUUAGAUUAAGGAAUGAAGGUCUAUAUCUUUAGGUUAAGGAAUGAAGGUUUAUAUCUUUAGAUUAAGGAAUGAAGGUCUUUAGGUUAAGGAAUGAAGGACUAUAUCUUUAAGUUAAGGAAUGAAGGUCUAUAUCAUUAGGUUAAGGAAUGAAGGAUUAAGUCGUAUUUUAUAUCAAUACUAUACGUACAUGUUGAACCAUCAGCAUGUUAAUAUGAUACAACAAGACACUCGACAUCGCUGUACGUUCUUUGUAUGACCGAAUGAGCACAGUUUUCAGUAUGGCUGCAUAUAAGAAUAUAUACACAUCAAAUAUUCGACAUGGCUGUGUGUACUUGAGGCUUUCAACGUGCAGAUACAAAUAAUUCUCAACAUGAAAUUCUGUACAUGAUUGCGCUGUAGGCAUAUAGUAUUUUUCAACAUGGCUGUACGUACACAAUACUGGCUGUAUCUACUUUCUGUGAACCUAAACUUUUUCAAACAACCUCAUAUAUGGAUAAAAGUGUAAUAAUGGGGAAAAAAAACUGAUCAUAUUUUAUUCGCUUUUUCUUCUCCUGUUUACUUUUAAACGUUACUGUUUACUAACAAUCCAAAAACACAAGUGAUAAAUAUAUAGAUAGUUAGAUCAAUUUCAUCAUUUGCUUGUUAUCGUACUGGAAAUAAA